Molecule: ribosomal RNA, 490 nt
Filed under: uncultured bacterium
Lineage: Bacteria
Description: partial 16S ribosomal RNA
Rfam family: Bacterial small subunit ribosomal RNA
Source: RNAcentral
GAUGAACGCUAGCUACAGGCUUAACACAUGCAAGUCGCGGGGCAGCAUGGGGGUUGCUUGCAAUCCCCGAUGGCGGCCGGCGCACGGGUGAGUAACGCGUAUCCAACCUGCCCUUCACCACGGGAUAACCCGGCGAAAGUCGGACUAAUACCGUAUGUUGUCCAUUGACGGCAUCCGAUUUGGACGAAAGGCUUGGCGGUGAGGGAUGGGGAUGCGUCCGAUUAGCCAGACGGCGGGGUAACGGCCCACCGUGGCUACGAUCGGGAGGGGUUCUGAGAGGAAGGUCCCCCACACUGGAACUGAGACACGGUCCAGACUCCUACGGGAGGCAGCAGUGAGGAAUAUUGAUCAAUGGGCGUAAGCCUGAACCAGCCAAGUAGCGUGCAGGAGGACGGCCCUAUGGGUUGUAAACUGCUUUUAUGCGGGGAUAAAGUGGCCCACGUGUGGGCUUUUGCAGGUACCGCAUGAAUAAGGACCGGCUAAUUCCGUG